GGUCUCUAUGAAACAAUCAGAGGGUCUGGAAACUCUGGAAAUGGUCAAGAACAACAGGAUGGUACUAAUGUGACUGCAGGGUCAGACUAACCUGGAACAUUUUUUCUAGAGGGGUCCUGUCUAGACCUAAACAUCUUUGAUCUGGGUUCAAAUCCUUUGGCUCCUCAGAACCUACCAUGACAGUAGUAUCAGCGGCACCAGGAUGAAGUCCAGUCAUCUGAGAGUUUUCCUUCUAUCCAGCAGCUUU
Molecule: long non-coding RNA, 247 nt
Organism: Cyprinodon tularosa
Lineage: Eukaryota; Metazoa; Chordata; Actinopteri; Cyprinodontiformes; Cyprinodontidae
Exons: 3
Source: RefSeq, a predicted model, not a curated record